GUGUUGGUGGUUCAGUGGUAGAAUUUUUGCUUUCCAGGCAGGAGACCCAGGUUGGAUUCCUGGCCAAUGUA
This 71-nucleotide transfer RNA is filed under the name Loxodonta africana (African savanna elephant). It matches the Rfam family "tRNA". From Rfam's summary of the family: Transfer RNA (tRNA) molecules are approximately 80 nucleotides in length. Their secondary structure includes four short double-helical elements and three loops (D, anti-codon, and T loops). Further hydrogen bonds mediate the characteristic L-shaped molecular structure. tRNAs have two regions of fundamental functional importance: the anti-codon, which is responsible for specific mRNA codon recognition, and the 3' end, to which the tRNAs corresponding amino acid is attached (by aminoacyl-tRNA synthetases). tRNAs cope with the degeneracy of the genetic code in two manners: having more than one tRNA (with a specific anti-codon) for a particular amino acid; and 'wobble' base-pairing, i.e. permitting non-standard base-pairing at the 3rd anti-codon position. The record is from Rfam by way of RNAcentral. Lineage: Eukaryota; Metazoa; Chordata; Mammalia; Proboscidea; Elephantidae.